RNAcentral lists this ribosomal RNA (253 nucleotides) under uncultured bacterium. RNAcentral describes it as "partial 16S ribosomal RNA". It matches the Rfam family "Bacterial small subunit ribosomal RNA", at positions 524 to 776 of the family's 1533-position model. The record is from RNAcentral.
UACGUAGGCAGCAAGCGUUGUUCGGAAUUACUGGGCGUAAAGCGCACGUAGGCGGACCAGCAAGUUAGGGGUGAAAUCCCGGGGCUCAACCUCGGAACUGCAUUCGAUACUGCUUUGCUUGAGUACUGGAGAGGAGAUUGGAAUUUACGGUGUAGCAGUGAAAUGCGUAGAUAUCGUAAGGAAGACCAGUGGCGAAGGCGGAUCUCUGGACAGUUACUGACACUGAGGCACGAAGGCCAGGGGAGCAAACGGG